GGGGCAACCCUGAUCCAGCCAUGCCGCGUGUGUGAAGAAGGCCUUCGGGUUGUAAAGCACUUUCAGAGGUGAGGAAAGGUGCGUGGUUAAUACCCGCGUACUGUGACGUUAGCCUCAGAAGAAGCACCGGCUAACUCCGUGCCAGCAGCCGCGGUAAUACGGAGGGUGCGAGCGUUAAUCGGAAUAACUGGGCGUAAAGCGCGCGUAGGUGGUUGAGUCAGUCAGAUGUGAAAGCCCCGGGCUUAACCUGGGAACUGCACCUGAUACUGCUUGACUAGAGUACGGUAGAGGGCAGUGGAAUUUCCUGUGUAGCGGUGAAAUGCGUAGAUAUAGGAAGGAACACCAGUGGCGAAGGCGACUGCCUGGACCGAUACUGACACUGAGGUGCGAAAGCGUGGGUAGCAAACAGGAUUAGAUACCCUGGUAGUCCACGCCGUAAACGAUGUCGACUAGCCGUUGGGAGACUUGAUCUUUUAGUGGCGAAGUUAACGCGAUAAGUCGACC
Molecule: ribosomal RNA, 504 nt
Filed under: DMSP-degrading marine bacterium JA17
Lineage: Bacteria; Pseudomonadati; Pseudomonadota; Gammaproteobacteria
Description: bacterial SSU rRNA
Rfam family: Bacterial small subunit ribosomal RNA
Source: RNAcentral